This 237-nucleotide unclassified non-coding RNA is filed under the name uncultured fungus. RNAcentral's name for it is "sequence contains ITS2". Lineage: Eukaryota; Fungi. The record is from RNAcentral.
AACGCAUAUUGCGCCCUCUGGUAUUCUGGGGGGUACACCCGUUCGAGCGCCAUUUCAACCCUCAAGCAUGGCUUGGUGUUGGUGCGGGUCUAUGGGGACCCCCGCCGAAACUCGUAGGCGUCGUCGUCCAGCCUCCAGCGUAGCAGGCUCACGCACGCGUUGGGGGAGGCCCGGCGGCUGCCCGCCGUUUUACAGCGUAUUGGCCUCGGAUCGGGUGGGGAUACCCGCUGAACUUAA